GACUACAGCCAUGCCACCCUAAACAAGCCCGAUCCCAUCUGAUCUCAGAAGCUAAGCAGGGUCGGGCCUGGUAGUACUUAGAGGGGAGACCACCUAGGAGGACCAGGUGCUGUAGGCA
This 118-nucleotide ribosomal RNA is filed under the name Pteropus alecto (black flying fox). The record is from RNAcentral. Lineage: Eukaryota; Metazoa; Chordata; Mammalia; Chiroptera; Pteropodidae.